CAAUGAAAUGUAAGUCAGUUCGAAAUAUGAAAACUUUCAUAAAAUAGUUACUUUAGUUGUUUCUUUAUUUUACAAAAUUGGACUUGAUGAAACCUAGAAGCUUUUACAAAGUAUAUCGACGAAUUUUAUUGAUGAGAAGCAUUUGGUUUUGAAAUUUAAGUUGAUUUAUUAUUGCAAUUCAAUGGAGACAAAUUGCAGCAAAUUGCCAAGUAUGCUGCAUAAAUAUACAUAUAAAUAAUUGUUAAAAAUUUACGCUGUACAGUCCAUUUAUUUUGAGUAAUUC
Long non-coding RNA from Drosophila albomicans, 283 nucleotides. RefSeq lists it as uncharacterized. The transcript has 2 exons. The record is from RefSeq and is a predicted model, not a curated record. Lineage: Eukaryota; Metazoa; Arthropoda; Insecta; Diptera; Drosophilidae.